This is a long non-coding RNA of Drosophila simulans, 263 nucleotides long. RefSeq lists it as uncharacterized. The record is from RefSeq and is a predicted model, not a curated record. The transcript is spliced from 2 exons. Lineage: Eukaryota; Metazoa; Arthropoda; Insecta; Diptera; Drosophilidae.
CGACGUUUGGAAUCGAAGUGAAGCGGUAACUCAAGUGUACAAGGGAGUUGGGCUCAGAUGUGGAUGAAGAUGCUCCGCCGACGUCGACGGCGACGGCGACCGCGGCUGCGGGGUAGCAGCAUUGGAGCCUAUGUACAUAUAUAGAUACACACACUCACAUCGCAGCCACAUCCGAUUUUCUUGCGUUGAUUGCGUUCUAUUGUUACGUUUCUCGCUUUGCUCCAUGCACCAACGGGCGAAACAACAACACUGCGACGCCAACA